This 2294-nucleotide long non-coding RNA is filed under the name Homo sapiens (human). RNAcentral describes it as "HSALNT0027748". Lineage: Eukaryota; Metazoa; Chordata; Mammalia; Primates; Hominidae. The record is from RNAcentral.
AAGAAGCUAUUAUUUCUAGUGUCUGUUAUUUUAUUUUUAAACAAAGACAAGCUUUGAAGAGGAACUUUUCUACUUUCUACAAUUUCCUCUUAUUUUACUUCAUAGUUCCUCUUCAAACUUGUUUAACAUGUCUUGGCUUAGUUGUUUUGAUUAACUCCUGGAUGUACAGUACAACAUAACACCUAAGAAGAAGGAGUAUACUUAUAGUUGUUAUAGAGGUUCAAAUUCACAACUGGUAUCAUAUUCCUUCUGCCAAAAUAAAUUCUCACUUCGCUGAUCAUAUGAUUAUUUACCUAGAAAACCCUAAAGACUCGCCAAAAGGAUCCAACUGAUAAAUGAUGUCAGUGAAAUUUUAAAUUGAAUGUACAAAUAUCAGUAGCAUUCCUAUAAACCAAUAAUGUUCAAACUGAGAGCCAAAUCAAGACUGCAAUCCCAUUUACAAGAGACAUACACACACACGCACACACACACGGAAUACAUCUAACCAAGGAGGUGACAGAUCUCCACAGGAAGAGAAGCAAAACACAGUUGAGAGAAAUCAGAGAUGACACAAAUAAAUGGGAAAAUAUUUCAUGCUUAUGAACAAGAAUCAAUAUCAUUAAAAUAACCAUACUGCCCAAAGCAAUCAACAGAUUCAAUGCUAUUCCUAACAAACCACCAAUGUCAUUUUCACAGAAUUAGAACAAUUAUUUUAAAUUUAUGUGAAACCAGAAAGGAGCCUGAAUAGCUAAAUCAAUCCUAGGCAAAAUGUACAAAGCUAGAGGCAUCCCACUACCUAACUUCAAACUAUACUACAAGGCGACAGUAACCAAACAGCUUGGUACUGAUACAAAAACAGACAUGUAGGCCAAUGGAACAGAACAGAGAACCUAGAAAUAAAGCCACACACGUACAACCAUCUCAUCUUCAACAAAGUUGACAAAAACAAGCAACUGGGAAAUGGCUCCCUAUUCAACAAAUGAAUGAUGCUGGGAUAAUUGUGUAGUCAUAUGCAGAAGAUUGAAACUGGACUCCUACCUUUCACAAUAUACAAAAAUCAAAGUCAAAAAAGUCAAGGUCAACAAAAGUAAACAAUGGGAAAAGUACACUCUAUUCAAUAAAUGAUGCUGGAAUAACUAACUAACCCUAUGCAGAAGGAUGAAACUAGACCCCUAUUCAUCACCAUACACAAAAAUUAACUCAAGAUGAAUUAAAGACUUAAAUGAAAGAUCUCAAACAAUAAAAAUUCUAUAAAAGUCUGGGAAAUACCCUUCUGGACACUGAUCUUGGCAAAGAAUUUAUUACUAAGACCUCAAAAGCAAUUUGCAAUGAAAAAAAAUUGACAAGGAGAACCUAAUUAAACUAAAGAGCUUCUGCACAGCAAAAGAAGCUAUCAACAGACUAAGCAGGCAACCUAUGAAGUGGGAAAAAACGUUUGUGAACUAUGCAUCUGACAAAGGUCUAAUACCCAGAAUUUAGAAGAAACAUAAACAACUCAACAAGAAAAAAACAAAUAACGCCAUUGCAAAGUGGGCAAGGGAUGUGAACAGACACUUCUUAAAAGAAGACAGUCACGUGGCCAACAAAUAUAUGAAAAAUUACUCAUCAUCACUAAUCAUCAGAGAAAUGCAAACAAAAACCACAAUGAGUUAUCAUCUCACACCAGUCAGAGUGGCUAUUAUCAAAAAGUCACAAACAACAGAUGCUACUAAGGCUAUGGAGAAAGGUGAAAGCUUAUACAUUGUUGAUGCUAAAAUAUUAAUAAAUCUGUUCAGUCACUGUGGAAAGCAGUUUGAAGAUUUAUCAAAGAACUUAAAACAGAACUACCACUCAAUGCAGAAUCCCAUUGGCUAUAUACCCAUAGGAAAAUAAAUAAUUUUACCAAAAAUACACACACACUUACAUGUUCAUGACAGCACUAUUCACAAUAGCAAAGAAAUGGAAUCAACCUAGGCAACAGUCAAUUGGAGUAAAAAAAGUGGUACAUAGACAUCAUGGAAUACUGUGGAGCAAUAAGAAAGAAUGAAAUCCUGUCUUUUGUGGCAACGUGGUUGCAGAUGUAGGCCAUUAUCCUAAGUAAAUUAACAAAGAAACAGAAUACCAAGUAUAACAUAUACUCACUUAUCACUGGAAGCUGAACACUGGGUACACAUGGACAUACAGAUGGGGACAAUAAACUCUAGGGACUACAAGAAGUGGGAGGAAUGGGUUGAAAAACUACCUAUUGGGUACUAUGCUUACUACCAGGACAAGAUCAACUGUACUCCAAAGCUCAGCAUCACACCAUAUACCUUUGUAACAAAUCUGCACGUAUA